GCUGGGCGUGGUGGCACACGCCUGUAAUCCCAGCAGCUUGGGAGGCUGAGGCAGGAGGAUCACGAGUUCAAAGCCUGCCUCAGCAAAAGCAAGGCAAUAAGCAACUCAGUGAGACCCUGUCUAUA
Molecule: small RNA, 125 nt
Filed under: Marmota monax (woodchuck)
Lineage: Eukaryota; Metazoa; Chordata; Mammalia; Rodentia; Sciuridae
Source: RNAcentral